UGCGCAUCACCUCUUGCUUGUCUAGAUCAGCCCGGACGUUGGCAUGUGUAGCGUAUUUUGUCGGGUUUCGAGAUCAAGAAUCGAUGUCCCUUUGUUGGUUGGUUUUCCGAGAAUCCUUGACCCUUGAUUUGUUACCUUCGCAUCGUUUGGUGCAUGUUUUCCGAGAAUCCUUGACCCUUGAUUUGUUGCUUUCGCAUCGUUCGGUGCAUGUUUUCCGAGAAUCCUUGACCCUUGAUUUGUUACUUUCGCAUCGUUCGGUGCAUUCUGGGGGAUGUUUUGGCUUUUGGUGGCUUACUUGGCCUUUUGGCUGGGUUUGUUGCUAUUGGUCGGGCGACUUUCGGGAAUGUCGACCGUGGAGGUGCAUGAGUGGUGUUUGGUUUGUUACGUGUGGAUGGCUGUUUGCUUGCGCAACAACGUUCACGCUGCAUACCUCUUCAGUUUUGCGGCAAGGCUUGGUUUGGCUUGUGCAUAUUGUGGGUUUCCUGUGUUGCAUACCUAGUUGAAGGAAAAGUGUGGGUUUUACGAUUUUCAUUUUCGUCUUGCGUCGUUCUUUCGGCAUGGGAUGAGCAAUGAAGCGAUCUUUAUGAUCCAUCGUGCUGUUGUGUUUGCAACAAUGAUGUGGCCUAUGAAGCAUCGUUUGGUCUCUUGUAUACGGAAGCUCAUUUGGGCUUGGGUCUUCAUAAGAUCUUCGUUAUGCCCUUGUUAAGCGUUCUCGCUUCUCCUAAACGAUUG
Molecule: unclassified non-coding RNA, 732 nt
Filed under: Centaurea litardierei
Lineage: Eukaryota; Viridiplantae; Streptophyta; Magnoliopsida; Asterales; Asteraceae
Description: partial external transcribed spacer
Source: RNAcentral